The sequence is a ribosomal RNA, 956 nucleotides long. It matches the Rfam family "Bacterial small subunit ribosomal RNA", at positions 1 to 937 of the family's 1533-position model.
UUUUAUGGAGAGUUUGAUCCUGGCUCAGGAUGAACGCUGGCGGCGUGCCUAAUACAUGCAAGUCGAGCGAACGGACGAGAAGCUUGCUUCUCUGAUGUUAGCGGCGGACGGGUGAGUAACACGUGGAUAACCUACCUAUAAGACUGGGAUAACUUCGGGAAACCGGAGCUAAUACCGGAUAAUAUUUUGAACCGCAUGGUUCAAAAGUGAAAGACGGUCUUGCUGUCACUUAUAGAUGGAUCCGCGCUGCAUUAGCUAGUUGGUAAGGUAACGGCUUACCAAGGCAACGAUGCAUAGCCGACCUGAGAGGGUGAUCGGCCACACUGGAACUGAGACACGGUCCAGACUCCUACGGGAGGCAGCAGUAGGGAAUCUUCCGCAAUGGGCGAAAGCCUGACGGAGCAACGCCGCGUGAGUGAUGAAGGUCUUCGGAUCGUAAAACUCUGUUAUUAGGGAAGAACAUAUGUGUAAGUAACUGUGCACAUCUUGACGGUACCUAAUCAGAAAGCCACGGCUAACUACGUGCCAGCAGCCGCGGUAAUACGUAGGUGGCAAGCGUUAUCCGGAAUUAUUGGGCGUAAAGCGCGCGUAGGCGGUUUUUUAAGUCUGAUGUGAAAGCCCACGGCUCAACCGUGGAGGGUCAUUGGAAACUGGAAAACUUGAGUGCAGAAGAGGAAAGUGGAAUUCCAUGUGUAGCGGUGAAAUGCGCAGAGAUAUGGAGGAACACCAGUGGCGAAGGCGACUUUCUGGUCUGUAACUGACGCUGAUGUGCGAAAGCGUGGGGAUCAAACAGGAUUAGAUACCCUGGUAGUCCACGCCGUAAACGAUGAGUGCUAAGUGUUAGGGGGUUUCCGCCCCUUAGUGCUGCAGCUAACGCAUUAAGCACUCCGCCUGGGGAGUACGACCGCAAGGUUGAAACUCAAAGGAAUUGACGGGGACCCGCACAAGCGGUGGAG